Molecule: long non-coding RNA, 1170 nt
Filed under: Sus scrofa (pig)
Lineage: Eukaryota; Metazoa; Chordata; Mammalia; Artiodactyla; Suidae
Description: lncRNA (ENSSSCG00070012383.1)
Source: RNAcentral
GUCAGGGCACCGAAGCAGGAGGGGAGGGACUCAAGCACGGCCUGUGCUCCAGAAUCCUGCCUGCUGGAAGCCUUCCCCGCCCGAGGCUGAGCAGACUUGUCAGAUGGGAAAGCCGAGGCCCGAGGACGCACAGUGAGGCCGGGCGGUGCGGGGAGGCUGCAAGCCAAGCGAAGGGCCUUAAACCAGGGCUUCGGUUUGAUCUCAGGUAGGGAUCUGGGUUCCAGAAGCCUCCAAGAGCUGCAGUUACAGGUCAGUGUCAGGUCGGCGAGCAUCCUGGGGACACUGCUGUGUCUUCCUGCACCUGCCCUGCCUGGAGCUCAGGUGUCUGGGUCUCCACAGCAGCCUGGGCGGCUGGGAUGGAAGUGGCGCAAGCCACACUCCACAAAGGGCUCCUGGGGAGCUGAGUGGCACCAGCUCUGCUGGGUCUCCAGGGAGAGGGACGGGGCCCCAAAGAUCCAUGAAGGUAGGAGCCAUCCCCAGGCAUCCUGCGGCAAAGGCCAGGGACCCUGACUUUCCUCAGCCCCAGCCCUGCUGCUGCAGCCCAUCAAUCCCCACCCAGCCCCGACCCCUACGUCCCCUCGUCAGACAGUAGUGCCACUCCCUGGGCAUCGUGUCCCCAGCCACACUCUCCCUGAGUGUCCACACAGCAGCUGCUGAAGCCGACCCCACCAGACCAUCCUGGCUUCUGGCUCCCAUUUGGCUGCAGGAUAAAGCCCAACCUCAUGUGCCUGGUGUUCCAGGCCCUCCAGCUCUGCCUCCUGUGUCUAGACUGCCCUUAAGAGGGGAGAAAGGGGGUGUCCCCAGGCAGGAGGCGGUGGCUCUAAGCCUUGUCCAGAGUGGGCGGGCCACCCAGACUGACUGAGCUGCCAGGUGGAGCAGUGUCCCAACCCUAGGUGUGCAUGUGUGAGGGGCACCUGCGAGUGCAGUGGGGGUGAGAGUGUGUGUCCAGUGAUGAUGGGCCACCCUGGGACCGUCCCACGUCCUGGAACCAGCUUUCCCUCCAACUGUCUCUUAACAAACUGACCACCUUCCAGCUCCCCCUCGGAGGACCUCAGCCGAAAUGGUGUGGCCUUGGUCAAAAUGGCCCCCGGGGCACAGAGCUGGGCCUCUGACCCGUGCGGGUGGAGUCUCAGGUCUGGCCUGACCUCUUGCCCCAAGACUGCUCCCCCU